AGAGAGAGCCCAGUGUCUUUCUUCACUCUUUAUUGUGUAAAAAUAAACUCAACAAUUCAUGUAAUUUGAGCAAUAAAAUGGAAAAAGCAUGAAUACCAGUAGAAACAGUGCAUUUUCCAAACUGCUGAUGUGGACUGUGGGGAAGUGUCGAACCCAUUCAAAACCCAAGAAGACUGAGAGCAAGUCAUAGGAAAAAUGUACAGCUUUGGUUAGCAAAAUAAUGACAAAGUAAGAUACAUUUAUUCUCUCCCCUACUGUACAAUAUAUACACAUCAGAGCAGUAUCACACUGGUUUGUUUGUUGUUGGGGUUCUUCUCUUUUUUUGGCAAAUCAGACACAAUUGGGACUGCGGAUUAAUUACGUGUCCAGUGAGUCGUUGCUGUUCCCCACCCCCUCGGCAGAUUGUGCUUAAGUCACUGUUGGCUGAAGCGAACUGGUCCUAAUAAGUAACUUAGCAAAUUGAACUCACAACGUGUUGUAAAAAGAGCACGGGUCAAACGCGCUGCCCUGAGCCGCAGCUUGGUGCCAGGGGAACUCGCCUGGCUGUGUGUGUGCGCGUGCGUGCGUGUGCACGCGUGUGUGCACGGGGGAGGGGGCUGUGCUUGCAAACCGCGGCUCACAUGCUCAGCGCUGUCGCUGCCUGGCUCGGAUCAGCUGGAUAGAGCAGCUCCGACCUUGAACUGCUUAUUACAUGCCCGUCCACCUUGCAUAUUUGCCACAUCUUCGGAGUUGGUCGUAAGGGCUCUGCUAAGCCUCUGUGAAUUAUCUCCCUGCCCACCCGCCCCGCGCCCCCCGGGACAACCCUGGCCGGCCUGCCGCCGAGGGGGUCGGGGCGGGCUGCUGCGCCCUCCCAGUACAAACCAAGAGCUUUAAAAAAGAAAACCAUACAAAAAUGUGUCUAUUAUUUCAAAAUAGGUUUCUUUCUACCGCUUCCCCUCACCCUUAGAAUAUUUUAAAGUAUCUUUCAGGGAGCAUCAGUGCCUCUUAUACGCUUUCUUACUUCUUCUGCUUCAUAAAAAUACCUUUUUCUUGGUAGCAAACUUCCUUUUACAGUAAGAGAAAUCAUCAUCAUCAUCACAUAGUGCGUUAUCAAAA
Long non-coding RNA from Gavialis gangeticus (Gharial), 1095 nucleotides. RefSeq lists it as uncharacterized. The transcript has 2 exons. NCBI's taxonomy places the organism in Eukaryota, Metazoa, Chordata, Crocodylia, Gavialidae. The record is from RefSeq and is a predicted model, not a curated record.